CUACGGGGCGCAGCAGGCGAGAAAACUUUGCAAUGUGCGAAAGCACGACAAGGUUAAUCCGAGUGAUUUCUGCUAAAGAAAUCUUUGUUAUCCUAGAAACACU
RNAcentral lists this ribosomal RNA (103 nucleotides) under uncultured archaeon. RNAcentral describes it as "partial 16S ribosomal RNA". It matches the Rfam family "Archaeal small subunit ribosomal RNA", at positions 323 to 426 of the family's 1478-position model. The record is from RNAcentral.